RNAcentral lists this ribosomal RNA (497 nucleotides) under uncultured bacterium. RNAcentral describes it as "bacterial SSU rRNA". It matches the Rfam family "Bacterial small subunit ribosomal RNA", at positions 368 to 862 of the family's 1533-position model. The record is from RNAcentral.
GCAAUGGGGGAAAACCCGACGCAGAGACGCCGCGUGGGGGAGGAGGGCCUUCGGGUUGUAAAAUCCUUUUACCACUCAGGCAGGCUCCCAGUUUUGUGGGGGUUGACGGUAAUUCGGGAAUAAGGACCGUCUAAUUACUUGCCAGCAGCCGCGGUAAUAAGUAGGGUGCUACCGUUGUCCGGAAUUAUUGGGGGUAAAGAGCUGGUAGGCGGCAUGUCACUUAUUCUGUGAAAGACCGGGGUUUAACUUCGGUUUUGCAGUGGAUACGGGCAUGCUAGAGGUAGGUAGGGGAGAUUGGAAUUCCUGGUGUAGCGGUGGAAUGCGCAGAUAUCAGGAGGAACACCGGUGGCGAAGGCGGGUUUUUGGGCCUUACCUGACGCUGAGGAGCGAAAGCAUGGGUAGCGAACAGGAUUAGAUACCCUGGUAGUCCUUGCCGUAAACGAUGGGCGCUAGGUGUGGGGACUUUCCACGGUUUCCGCGCCGUAGCUAACGCAUAG